GCAUAUCAAUAAGCGGAGGAAAAGAAACCAACAGGGAUUGCCUCAGUAACGGCGAGUGAAGCGGCAACAGCUCAAAUUUGAAAUCUGGCCUCUUGGGGUCCGAGUUGUAAUUUGUAGAGGAUGUUUCGGGUACCGCCUCGGUUUAAAUUUCUUGGAACAGAAUGUCAGAGAGGGUGAGAAUCCCGUCUUGAACCGGUGGUAGGGCCUAUGUGAAACUCCUUCGACGAGUCGAGUUGUUUGGGAAUGCAGCUCCAAAUGGGUGGUAAAUUUCAUCUAAAGCUAAAUAUUGGCCAGAGACCGAUAGCGCACAAGUAGAGUGAUCGAAAGAUGAAAAGCACUUUGAAAAGAGAGUUAAACAGUAUGUGAAAUUGUUGAAAGGGAAGCGCUUACAACCAGACUUGAGCGCGGCGGUUCCCCCUUGCUUCUGCUUGGGUUACUCCGCCGUGUCCAGGCCAACAUCGGUUCUGGGGGUCGGUCAAAGGCCCUGGGAAUGUAUCUACCUACGGGUAGACUUAUAGACCAGGGUGUCAUGCGGCCUCCCGGGACCGAGGAACGCGCUCCGGCUCGGAUGUUGGCGUAAUGGUUGUCAGCGACCCGUCUUGAAACACGGACC
RNAcentral lists this ribosomal RNA (613 nucleotides) under Cladophialophora bantiana. Its description in RNAcentral is "LSU rRNA". It matches the Rfam family "Eukaryotic large subunit ribosomal RNA", at positions 38 to 667 of the family's 3401-position model. Lineage: Eukaryota; Fungi; Ascomycota; Eurotiomycetes; Chaetothyriales; Herpotrichiellaceae. The record is from RNAcentral.